Molecule: ribosomal RNA, 217 nt
Filed under: uncultured bacterium
Lineage: Bacteria
Description: partial 16S ribosomal RNA
Rfam family: Bacterial small subunit ribosomal RNA
Source: RNAcentral
CAUAGGAAUCUGCCCUGCAGUGGGGGAUAACCUGGAGAAAUCCAGGCUAAUACCGCAUACGUCUUACGAGAGAAAGCAGGCCUCUUCUUGAAAGCUUGUACUGCAGGAUGAGCCUAUGUCGGAUUAGCUAGUUGGUGGGGUAAAGGCUUACCAAGGCAACGAUCCGUAGCUGGUCUGAGAGGAUGAUCAGCCACACUGGGACUGAGACACGGCCCAG